Molecule: ribosomal RNA, 518 nt
Filed under: Dione juno
Lineage: Eukaryota; Metazoa; Arthropoda; Insecta; Lepidoptera; Nymphalidae
Description: partial 16S ribosomal RNA
Rfam family: Bacterial large subunit ribosomal RNA (bases 391-518)
Source: RNAcentral
GUUUUUUUGGUUAAUAAUUUAAAGUUUAAUUUGCCCCCUGAUUGAUAAUUAAAGGGCUGCAGUAUAUUGACUGUACAAAGGUAGCAUAAUCAUUAGUCUUUUAAUUGAAGACUUGUAUGAAAGAUUUGAUGAAAUAUAAACUGUCUCUAAGUUAAUUAUAGAAAUUAAUUUUUUAAUUAAAAAGUUAAAAUAAUUUAAAAAGACGAGAAGACCCUAUAGAGUUUUAUAAUAAUUAAAAAUUUGGAUUAUGUAUAUAAAUAAUAAAUUUAAAAUUUUAUUAUUAUUUUAUUGGGGUGAUAGAAAAAUUUAAUUAACUUUUUUUAAAAAAAAAUCAUAAAUAAGUGAAUAAAUGAUCCAUAAAUAGUGAUUAAAAGAAAAAAUUACCUUAGGGAUAACAGCGUAAUUUUUUUUUUUAGUACAAAUAAAAAAAAAAGGUUGCGACCUCGAUGUUGGAUUAAGAUAAAAUUUAAAUGCAAAAGUUUAAAAUUUUGAUCUGUUCGAUCAUUAAAAUCUUACAU